UACGUAGGUGGCAAGCGUUGUCCGGAUUUCUUGGGUUUAAAGGGUGCGUAGGCGGUCCUAUAAGUCAGUGCUGAAAUAUCCCGGCUUAACCGGGAGGGUGGCAUUGAUACUGCAGGACUUGAGUAAAGUUGAGGUUGGCGGAAUUGACGGUGUAGCGGUGAAAUGCUUAGAUAUCGUCAAGAACACCUAUUGCGAAGGCAGCUAACUAAGCUUUAACUGACGCUGAGGCACGAAAGUGUGGGGAUCAAACAGG
RNAcentral lists this ribosomal RNA (253 nucleotides) under uncultured bacterium. Its description in RNAcentral is "partial 16S ribosomal RNA". It matches the Rfam family "Bacterial small subunit ribosomal RNA", at positions 524 to 776 of the family's 1533-position model. The record is from RNAcentral.